Molecule: ribosomal RNA, 366 nt
Filed under: uncultured organism
Description: bacterial SSU rRNA
Rfam family: Bacterial small subunit ribosomal RNA
Source: RNAcentral
GUAGGUGGCAAGCGUUGUCCGGAUUUAUUGGGUUUAAAGGGUGCGUAGUGGUCUAUUAAGUCAGUGCUGAAAUAUCCCGGCUUAACCGGGAGGGUGGCAUUGGUACUGAUGGACUUGAGUGGAGUUGAGGUAGGCGGAAUUGACGGUGUAGCGGUGAAAUGCUUAGAUAUCGUCAAGAACACCGAUAGCGAAGGCAGCUUACUAAGCUCUAACUGACACUGAUGCACGAAAGUGUGGGGAUCAAACAGGAUUAGAUACCCUGGUAGUCCACACUGUAAACGUUGAUUACUCGAUGUUGGCGAUACACAGUCAGCGUCUUAGCGCAAGCGAUAAGUAAUCCACCUGGGGAGUACGCCGGCAACGGUG